UACGUAGGGUGCGAGCGUUGUCCGGAAUUACUGGGCGUAAAGAGCUCGUAGGUGGUUUGUCGCGUUGUUCGUGAAAACCUGAGGCUUAACCUUGGGCGUGCGGGCGAUACGGGCAGACUGGAGUACUGCAGGGGAGACUGGAAUUCCUGGUGUAGCGGUGGAAUGCGCAGAUAUCAGGAGGAACACCAAUAGCGAAGGCAGCUCGCUGGGACGGUACUGACGCUAAGGCGCGAAAGCGUGGGGAGCGAACAGG
RNAcentral lists this ribosomal RNA (253 nucleotides) under uncultured bacterium. RNAcentral's name for it is "partial 16S ribosomal RNA". It matches the Rfam family "Bacterial small subunit ribosomal RNA", at positions 524 to 776 of the family's 1533-position model. The record is from RNAcentral.